Non-coding RNA from Canis lupus familiaris (dog), 85 nucleotides. The record is from Rfam. Lineage: Eukaryota; Metazoa; Chordata; Mammalia; Carnivora; Canidae.
UAGUCUGAAACGAUAACUUUCAAUUUCAUGUCUUUGACAUUUUUCUCUAGAGAAAGUUUUUUGUCUUACUCAUUUGAUGAGAAUG